AGAUAAAAAAUCUUUUAAGAAGUUUGGCUUGGUUGACUAAGAAUCCUUUCUUUCUAGGAAAUUUUAGACGAAGAAGAAAUAAGAAUCUCUAUAAUGGCAACUAAGGCAGUAGAAAUUAAAACACAGGUUCCUGUGCAGCAGUUUGCUCUUCUUCCCAAAAUCAUGAAUGGUGGAAUUGCAGGAAUUAUUGGUGUAACCUGUGUAUUUCCCUUGGAUCUUGUCAAGACAAGGCUUCAGAACCAAAAGGUGGGGCCUAAUGGAGAGAAAUUGUACAGCAGUAUGCUGGACUGUUUCAAGAAAACAUACAAGGCAGAGGGAUACUUUGGCAUGUACAGAGGUUCAGCAGUGAAUAUACUUCUGAUUACCCCUGAGAAAGCGAUCAAGCUGGCGGCCAAUGAUUACUUUAGACAUAGGUUAACCCGACCUGACGGUAAACUACCGGUAUCAAGGGAGAUGUUGGCCGGAGGCAGUGCAGGACUUUGUCAGAUCGUGAUCACGACCCCUAUGGAGUUGCUGAAAAUCCAGCUGCAGGAUGCAGGACGUGUAGCGGCUCAACUCAAGGCUGCUGGACAGUCUACCGCUCAUCUGCCAAAGAUAUCUGCUUUAUCCAUCACAAUGGAAUUACUCAAAUCUAAGGGAAUCCUGGGUUUGUAUCGUGGAACGUCUGCAACUAUGCUACGAGAUGUUAGUUUCUCCAUGGUUUACUUCCCUCUGUUCGCCAACCUCAACAGAAUGGGACCUAGGAAAAGUCCUGAUUCUAAUGAAGCAGUGUUCUGGUGGUCAUUCGUUUCAGGUAUGUCUGCUGGUUCUAUCUCAGCUGCUGUAGUAAACCCAGCAGACGUUGUGAAAACCAGAUUACAGCUCCUUAACAAGGGAGCAGCAGAGGAAUCUUAUUCAGGAAUAGCUGACGCAUUUAGAAAAAUCUACAAGAACGAGGGCCCUAGCGCAUUCUUAAAGGGAGCACUGUGCAGGAUGAUUGUAAUUGCUCCACUCUUUGGUAUAGCGCAGACGGUUUACUACUUCGGUAUAGCCGAGUACCUCAUGGGUAUGGAGAAGGCGAAGCAGACGGUCCUCCUCCCCGCCAAGAAGAUGGAGUAGAUCAUAUCCUUGACAUUUGACAUUUGUAUUCAUUUGUUCCCUGGUUCCUUAUAUUUAUAUCCUGGCUUUCAGUCUUUAGAUCAUUCACAUGACUUUCUUACUAGAUUCUUUAUUCUUUGUUCAAGUAUGGACAAGUUAUUUUUUUUUAUUUUUAUCUGUACAUUGUCAUUAUACAGUUAACAUUUAUUUACCUUGAUAUAAAAAUUGCCAACUUUUGAAUUGGAAGACGACUUUAAAGCAAUCUUUAUUGUGUAUGUGAUGUUGUCAAAAGGCGAUAAAUCAUUCCAUCAAAUAUUGAUAUAUUUCCUCUUCCUAUUAUGGGGUAAAUAUUAUCAAGACCGCUUUCUGAAGCUUCACUUAUAAUUUCUAUUUUUUCUCCCUUUCUGUCCUAAUCUAAUACCUAUCCUUCCCAUACGUUCCUGUCAUGUAUUGUCCUAACAUAUCCUAUUCCAGUCCGAUUCUGUCCUUCACUGUCCUAAAAUCAAAACAAAAAACGAUCUCUUAACAACCCUACAUCUGAUUUAAAAAGCAGGGUUGUCCAACCCAAGAAAAUAUUGUUAGGAACUUAGGUAAGAUUUAUUGUUGGUUUAACUAGUUUUACACUUGAAAACAUUUAAGCAGAGAAUUUAAUCUUUUUGUUACACAAUUAUAAUGUUUGUUAUAAUAGAAAUAUCAGUAGGCUGGAGCCAAUAUAUAUUAAUUGCAUAUGCUCUUGUAUAAAAUUAACCCACAGUAGAAAAUCCUUCAGUCUUUGAUUAUAAAUUUUAUUGUCGCACUAAGAAAAUGUAUUGUCGAUGAUUUUUGACUGCUUUCAAACCUUGUAAAUAUAAGCAUUUUUCAUGUCCAGAAAACCGCUCGUGUUCAGUCUCAGAAUAGAUUGAUUUUCUGUCAAUUUAUGAAGGACUAAGAAAAAUGUUGACUUACAAUAUUAUCAGGCUCUGGUUUGAUCCAGUAUUAUUUAAGGGUUAAUUGUAUUUCUUGGCUUUCUUAAAUAUAUAUUUUUCAUUAGA
Molecule: unclassified non-coding RNA, 2108 nt
Filed under: Eurytemora carolleeae
Lineage: Eukaryota; Metazoa; Arthropoda; Copepoda; Calanoida; Temoridae
Description: mitochondrial glutamate carrier 1-like
Source: RNAcentral